AGGAUGAACGCUGGCGGCGUGCUUAACACAUGCAAGUCGAACGGUGAAGCAGGAGCUUGCUCCUGUGGAUCAGUGGCGAACGGGUGAGUAACACGUGAGAAAUCUGCCCUGGACUCUGGGAUAAGCGUUGGAAACGACGUCUAAUACCGGAUACGAGACGUGAAGGCAUCUUCAACGUCUGGAGAGAACUUCGGUCCAGGAUGAUCUCGCGGCCUAUCAGCUAGUUGGUGAGGUAACGGCCCACCAAGGCGACGACGGGUAGCCGGCCUGAGAGGGUGACCGGCCACACGUGGGACUGAGACACGGCCCAGACUCCUACGGGAGGCAGCAGUGGGGAAUAUUGCACAAUGGGCGCAAGCCUGAUGCAGCAACGCCGCGUGAGGGACCGACGGCCUUCGGUUAGUAAACCCGUUGUUUUAGUAGGGAAGUAAGGACGUAAAGU
Molecule: ribosomal RNA, 442 nt
Filed under: uncultured soil bacterium
Lineage: Bacteria
Description: bacterial SSU rRNA
Rfam family: Bacterial small subunit ribosomal RNA
Source: RNAcentral